ACGAUGAUCCCGCUUGCUGGGGGAUUAGUGGCGAACGGGUGAGUAACACGUGAGUAACCUGCCCUUAACUCUGGGAUAAGCCUGGGAAACUGGGUCUAAUACCGGAUAUGACUCCUCAUCGCAUGGUGGGGGGUGGAAAGCUUUAUUGUGGUUUUGGAUGGACUCGCGGCCUAUCAGCUUGUUGGUGAGGUAAUGGCUCACCAAGGCGACGACGGGUAGCCGGCCUGAGAGGGUGACCGGCCACACUGGGACUGAGACACGGCCCAGACUCCUACGGGAGGCAGCAGUGGGGAAUAUUGCACAAUGGGCGAAAGCCUGAUGCAGCGACGCCGCGUGAGGGAUGACGGCCUUCGGGUUGUAAACCUCUUUCAGUAGGGAAGAAGCGAAAGUGACGGUACCUGCAGAAGAAGCGCCGGCUAACUACGUGCCAGCAGCCGCGGUAAUACGUAGGGCGCAAGCGUUAUCCGGAAUUAUUGGGCGUAAAGAGCUCGUAGGCGGUUUGUCGCGUCUGCCGUGAAAGUCCGGGGCUCAACUCCGGAUCUGCGGUGGGUACGGGCAGACUAGAGUGAUGUAGGGGAGACUGGAAUUCCUGGUGUAGCGGUGAAAUGCGCAGAUAUCAGGAGGAACACCGAUGGCGAAGGCAGGUCUCUGGGCAUUAACUGACGCUGAGGAGCGAAAGCAUGGGGAGCGAACAGGAUUAGAUACCCUGGUAGUCCAUGCCGUAAACGUUGGGCACUAGGUGUGGGGGACAUUCCACGUUUUCCGCGCCGUAGCUAACGCAUUAAGUGCCCC
This 792-nucleotide ribosomal RNA is filed under the name uncultured bacterium. Its description in RNAcentral is "bacterial SSU rRNA". It matches the Rfam family "Bacterial small subunit ribosomal RNA", at positions 66 to 870 of the family's 1533-position model. The record is from RNAcentral.